GAUGAAGAACGUAGCGAAAUGCGAUAAGUAGUGUGAAUUGCAGAAUUCAGUGAAUCAUCGAAUCUUUGAACGCGCAUUGCGCCCUUUGGUAUUCCAAAGGGCAUGCCUGUUCGAGCGUCAUUUGUACCCUCAAGCUUUGCUUGGUGUUGGGCGUCUUGUCUCUAGCUUUGCUGGAGACUCGCCUUAAAGUAAUUGGCAGCCGGCCUACUGGUUUCGGAGCGCAGCACAAGUCGCACUCUCUAUCAGCAAAGGUCUAGCAUCCAUUAAGCCUUUUUUUCAACUUUUGACCUCGGAUCAGGUAGGGAUACCCGCUGAACUUAAGCAUAUCAAUAAGCGGAGGA
Molecule: unclassified non-coding RNA, 341 nt
Filed under: soil metagenome
Description: partial contains 5.8S ribosomal RNA, internal transcribed spacer 2, and large subunit ribosomal RNA
Rfam family: 5.8S ribosomal RNA (bases 1-120)
Source: RNAcentral